This is a long non-coding RNA of Teleopsis dalmanni, 2603 nucleotides long. RefSeq lists it as uncharacterized. The transcript is spliced from 5 exons. The record is from RefSeq and is a predicted model, not a curated record. Lineage: Eukaryota; Metazoa; Arthropoda; Insecta; Diptera; Diopsidae.
GCUAUAUUUCAUAUAUAAAACUAUUUCGGAUAGAUUUAAAGCUCGUAGCAGUACUUCUAUAUUCAUUUAAUGACAUCAAAUGAACGACAUCAAGCAACGAACCAACAUGGAAUACUUUUAAAAGUUUAUACCCAAAAACCAAUUUCCUCAAUAUCAUUGCAGUUAAGUGCAGCACGCGGCAACAUUGACUUUCAAACUUUUACUGGUGAGGAGCCUCAGACCCUCAGACCCUAAUAUGCAACUUUUUGUUUCUAAUAAUUUGAACGCAAAAUGAAAAAUCUGGUUUUACGUUUUCACAUUGAAUUUUUUUUGGGUACUUAAAGCAAAAAGAGUUAAUUUUACUUUUUCCAAAAGAAACAACGAGAUUUUACAAAAAAAAAAAUCAAACUUAAGAGAGGAAAAGAAUGUUUGCAACAAAUUGCCACCAAUUAAAUUUAUCUUGUUGAAAACUUUUCAUGUAAUAUUUAUAGACUCAACGCCCUGUGGUUAUACACACAAGCAAGACAAGUUGUGAACGCAAAGAAGUUCUUCGUUCGGUACUUACUACACGCACAUAUGCAGUACGCAGUGAGCAGUAAGCAGUAAGCAGUGAGCAGUGAACAGUAAGCAAUGUUAGGAGACACAACGCAAACACAGCCAACACACACACACAUACACACACAUGAGAUAAUAUUUAUAUGCGCGUAUAGCAGAUAUUUUGUUACUCAUACGCAGCGUAAGACCUAACCUAAGCCGGCAAGCAAAAUUUUUCCACAGUGCAACUGUGUUACUCAAUUAGUUUUCAUUUCCCUUUGGGUUAAAAAUUUUAAAACACUUUGCAGCAGUGACUUUCUUUUAAGUUUCUACUGAUUGCACUUUACACAUAACGAAAAAUCUUAGUGAACCUUCAUAAAAAUGUAUGAGUGCGUGCUGUACGAGGACUAAUAAAAUUCAAAGCAAUUGGAGCACUUCGGCUUAGUUGGCGUUCUGUACUAUUCUAUACUAUUAUAGCCCAUUUUUUUUGGCAGUCUGUACGUAGCUCAUUGAAACGAUUUCAUUUACUGUGCAAGUAGUAAAUAGAAAAUAAAUAAAUAAAAUAAAAUCAAGAGCAAAAGUUGGGUGCUCCUGCGUUUGUCUGGUCCGCUACUUUUAUGUUUCAAUUAAUUAACACGAAACCACAUAAACUUCGCAGCCUGUUAUAUCCUUCGAUUUGGCAGACGGUGAACUUUCUUUAAGAAGUAUCAUUAACCCGAGUAUGGAAUAAGUUAAAUGUACCAAGCAACGUAUCAAUGUUUAAUGGCAAUUUCAAAGUGAAUUUCGUAUCAAUAAAAGUGAAUAUACGUACAUUUUUCACUUUCGAAUACUCAAAAUAGUUCCAUCACAAAUUGACGCAGCGUUUGAAACGUUCAACGAAUUUUUAAACGUCAAAAACUAGAUGAUCGUUUUAGAGGACCCGGAUAGUAUCGAUUAUAUAUUUGGGUGUUUUGGUGAAAGUGCUCGGGAUAAGUAUCUACAACUAAACCGAAAUCGACUAAAUCAAAGGAGAAAGUUGGGCUAAGAAUUUUUACUAAAUCAGUGUCAUUGCAUCUAGGACAAUUUCUGAGGACUGAUGCUAUUGUGGAUAUUAGUAACAGUGGUUUCAAAACCAUGUAAUAAGAAUAACCUGACUUCAUAGAGGAAGGAAUAAGGAAAAUAACUGAAUACUACCACAAAUAUUUCACAAACAGCACAUAAUACUUUUAAGAAAAGCUAUUGAUCGCCUCAAGAUAUGUCAAUUACACAAGCAAUGCAGAAUGAUGUAGACGAAAACAUAUCUACUCUGUUUCCGACUACCGUAUUAUCUGAAUCAUUUCAUCCGCUCAUCCGCAUCAUUCUAUUAGUCAGAUAACGACAAGUCUGCAGUUUUGGAAGCACUGACAUCCUUGACAGAAGAACAUAUCAAAAGAAUAUCACAUCCUAUAGUCGACAAUUGCAAGCAUACCGUACCUAACAUUAUAAGCAGUUUCCCAUAUUGUCAACAGAUCUACACAACACUGUCAUAUUCUAGCAUGUCCAGGAAAUACUGAUUGUAGCUGCAACAACUAAACUCUGUCUACGAUUAAUCAAAACUUCAAUAUUUCUUCGCAUUAACACACAUCACAUCAAGAUCUUCCUAAACACAUCUGUUUAACUGAGCAUAACAAGAGGGUAAACUAUUAGACAAUCUAUAGCAUGAGAUUAUGAUAUUCACGAAGUUACAGAAUUGUGAAAAUCCAGACCCAGCUAUUUGUUCAAAAGAAGUCUCUCGCGCCACAUUUGACGGUUUUGCUUUGUUUUGUUCCAUAUAUCGUAACGAGUUUUUUGCUAAGAUGGAUAAAUUGGAAAAUUUGCUGCUGUUCAGUUUAGGACUUUCACAGAGAAUAUGUUCAGAUGUUUCAGAUUUCACAAAAGCGACAAUUGCUAGUCUCUGUAAAGCCUGUAAAGUCUCUGUAGUGCUAAUAUAUCGCAAUGAAUGGAUUCUAUUUGAGACUGAUUUGUAUGGGUGGCCUGUCUUUGGUCUUGACGGUUCAUCUAGCAUUUUUCAAAUUGGUAUUUCUUAUAAUGUUAAAGAUUUUUUACUAUUAUUAGUACGUUCCGAGUUUUAU